This 559-nucleotide ribosomal RNA is filed under the name uncultured Prochlorococcus sp. Its description in RNAcentral is "bacterial SSU rRNA". It matches the Rfam family "Bacterial small subunit ribosomal RNA", at positions 35 to 642 of the family's 1533-position model. Lineage: Bacteria; Bacillati; Cyanobacteriota; Cyanophyceae; Synechococcales; Prochlorococcaceae. The record is from RNAcentral.
GCUGGCGGCGUGCUUAACACAUGCAGUCGAACGAACCUUCGGGUUAGUGGCGGACGGGUGAGUAACGCGUGAGAAUCUGCCCUCAGGAGGGGGAUAACGGUUGGAAACGACCGCUAAUACCCCAUAUGCCGCGAGGUGAAAUGAAUUUCGCCUGAGGAUGAGCUCGCGUCUGAUUAGUUAGUUGGUGGGGUAAAGGCCUACCAAGACAUCGAUCAGUAGCUGGUCUGAGGGGAUGAUCAGCCACACUGGGACUGAGACACGGCCCAGACUCCUACGGGAGGCAGCAGUGGGGAAUUUUCCGCAAUGGGCGAAAGCCUGACGGAGCAACGCCGCGUGAGGGAUGAAGGCCUCUGGGCUGUAAACCUCUUUUAUCAAGGAAGAAGAUCUGACGGUACUUGAUGAAUAAGCCACGGCUAAUUCCGUGCCAGCAGCCGCGGUAAUACGGGAGUGGCAAGCGUUAUCCGGAAUUAUUGGGCGUAAAGCGUCCGCAGGCGGUCUGUCAAGUCUGCUGUUAAAGCGUGGAGCUUAACUCCAUUUCGGCAGUGGAAACUGACAGACU